This 253-nucleotide ribosomal RNA is filed under the name uncultured bacterium. RNAcentral describes it as "partial 16S ribosomal RNA". It matches the Rfam family "Bacterial small subunit ribosomal RNA", at positions 524 to 776 of the family's 1533-position model. The record is from RNAcentral.
UACGUAGGGUGCAAGCGUUGUCCGGAAUUAUUGGGCGUAAAGAGCUCGUAGGCGGUCUGUUGCGUCGGCUGUGAAAACCCGGGGCUCAACUCCGGGCCUGCAGCCGAUACGGGCAGACUAGAGUUCGGCAGGGGAGACUGGAAUUCCUGGUGUAGCGGUGAAAUGCGCAGAUAUCAGGAGGAACACCGGUGGCGAAGGCGGGUCUCUGGGCCGAUAUCGACGCUGAGGAGCGAAAGCGUGGGGAGCGAACAGG